GCACCCGUAGCUCAGCUGGAUAGAGCGUUGCCCUCCGAAGGCAAAGGUCACACGUUCGAAUCGUGUCGGGUGCGCCG
This 77-nucleotide transfer RNA is filed under the name Methylobacterium sp. V23. RNAcentral describes it as "tRNA-Arg". It matches the Rfam family "tRNA". From Rfam's summary of the family: Transfer RNA (tRNA) molecules are approximately 80 nucleotides in length. Their secondary structure includes four short double-helical elements and three loops (D, anti-codon, and T loops). Further hydrogen bonds mediate the characteristic L-shaped molecular structure. tRNAs have two regions of fundamental functional importance: the anti-codon, which is responsible for specific mRNA codon recognition, and the 3' end, to which the tRNAs corresponding amino acid is attached (by aminoacyl-tRNA synthetases). tRNAs cope with the degeneracy of the genetic code in two manners: having more than one tRNA (with a specific anti-codon) for a particular amino acid; and 'wobble' base-pairing, i.e. permitting non-standard base-pairing at the 3rd anti-codon position. Lineage: Bacteria; Pseudomonadati; Pseudomonadota; Alphaproteobacteria; Hyphomicrobiales; Methylobacteriaceae. The record is from RNAcentral.